Acipenser ruthenus (sterlet) is the source of this 817-nucleotide long non-coding RNA. RefSeq lists it as uncharacterized. The transcript is spliced from 3 exons. The record is from RefSeq and is a predicted model, not a curated record. NCBI's taxonomy places the organism in Eukaryota, Metazoa, Chordata, Actinopteri, Acipenseriformes, Acipenseridae.
UAAUUGAUUUAGUGGUGUCUUAAUUAGAUAAUUGCCCUGGUUAUUUAAAUUGUUCCUUUGUUUGCGAUGGGGAGAGGAAGUAGCAUUAAUAAGGCCUUACAGGGCAUGCGACAUUAAAGGAACACCGAUAUAGAACUGGAGUGCAUGAGAAUGGGUUAUGUAUGGAAUGUAGUGGAAAGGAAACAGUGGAGCAUCUGAGGGAUUGCAAUAUUUCCAAUAUUUUUUUUGAAAUGGUACAGGUGAUAGAAAAAUAGAAAAAGGUAUUAUUGGGUGUAUUGCAAAAUAUAUUAGGAAGACUCAAGAAUAUUUAACAUACAGAGAUUUUAAAAGGUUAAGUGUUGACAGCAGUUUUAAUAGCCAAAUCUGAACAGUAGGUGGUGACAAUAAGUUUUGCUAGAAACUUGGUGACCAUUAACAGAACAGAAGAAGAAACAGGAGAGAAGAAGGGACGGUAGGUGUGGGACUUGGUAUUCGGUGUGCCGCUAUAGAGGGGAGUGCUCGGAAGACGCAUUUUGUCGGUGUCCUGCGGUGUUAAAGCCAGUUAUUUCAGGGGUUUUUGAGUCCAGUAUCACUACAUUUAAUUACACUCAAUCCAGAGAGUACUGUCUGUCGCAGAAUGCAGCUUUAGCAACCUUAGAGCAGGUGACCAGUGCUCAGAACACCAGCUUCCAGACCUGCAGGUAUGGAUGGGUGGAAGAGCAGUGAAUUCUUCUUGCCCGUACCACAGCGAUCAAGACUUGUGGCAACAGUAAUAUAGGCAUCAUUAAAAAAGGGCCCUGUGGAUACUACACUGCACCCAGUGCCUACUGCUACAAAA